This 649-nucleotide ribosomal RNA is filed under the name Salmonella enterica subsp. enterica. RNAcentral describes it as "bacterial SSU rRNA". It matches the Rfam family "Bacterial small subunit ribosomal RNA", at positions 1 to 644 of the family's 1533-position model. Lineage: Bacteria; Pseudomonadati; Pseudomonadota; Gammaproteobacteria; Enterobacterales; Enterobacteriaceae. The record is from RNAcentral.
GAAGAGUUUGAUCAUGGCUCAGAUUGAACGCUGGCGGCAGGCCUAACACAUGCAAGUCGAACGGUAACAGGAAGCAGCUUGCUGCUUUGCUGACGAGUGGCGGACGGGUGAGUAAUGUCUGGGAAACUGCCUGAUGGAGGGGGAUAACUACUGGAAACGGUGGCUAAUACCGCAUAACGUCGCAAGACCAAAGAGGGGGACCUUCGGGCCUCUUGCCAUCAGAUGUGCCCAGAUGGGAUUAGCUUGUUGGUGAGGUAACGGCUCACCAAGGCGACGAUCCCUAGCUGGUCUGAGAGGAUGACCAGCCACACUGGAACUGAGACACGGUCCAGACUCCUACGGGAGGCAGCAGUGGGGAAUAUUGCACAAUGGGCGCAAGCCUGAUGCAGCCAUGCCGCGUGUAUGAAGAAGGCCUUCGGGUUGUAAAGUACUUUCAGCGGGGAGGAAGGUGUUGUGGUUAAUAACCGCAGCAAUUGACGUUACCCGCAGAAGAAGCACCGGCUAACUCCGUGCCAGCAGCCGCGGUAAUACGGAGGGUGCAAGCGUUAAUCGGAAUUACUGGGCGUAAAGCGCACGCAGGCGGUCUGUCAAGUCGGAUGUGAAAUCCCCGGGCUCAACCUGGGAACUGCAUUCGAAACUGGCAGGCUUG